Molecule: non-coding RNA, 26 nt
Filed under: Cricetulus griseus (Chinese hamster)
Lineage: Eukaryota; Metazoa; Chordata; Mammalia; Rodentia; Cricetidae
Source: RNAcentral
CCUAAUGCUGCAUAUGCCUGUCUCUG